UGGCUCAGAUUGAACGCUGGCGGCGUGCUUAACACAUGCAAGUCGCGCGUGAAAGGACUUCGGUCCGAGUAAAGCGGCGCACGGGUGAGUAACGCGUGGAUGAUCUACCCAUGAGUUAGGAAUAACGGCUGGAAACGGUCGCUAAUACCAAAUACGCUCCGAUUUCAACUUCGGGGGAAAGGUGGCCUCUGCUUGCAAGCUACUGCUCAUGGAUGAGUCCGCGUCCCAUUAGCUAGUUGGUGGGGUAACGGCCCACCAAGGCGACGAUGGGUAGCCGGUCUGAGAGGAUGACCGGCCACACUGGGACUGGAACACGGCCCAGACUCCUACGGGAGGCAGCAGUGGGGAAUAUUGCGCAAUGGGCGAAAGCCUGACGCAGCGACGCCGCGUGAGGGAUGAAAGGUCCUCGGAUCGUAAACCUCUGUCAGGAGGGAAGAACCGCCACGGUGCUAAUCAGCCGUGGUCUGACGGUACCUCCAAAGGAAGCACCGGCUAACUCCGUGCCAGCAGCUGC
RNAcentral lists this ribosomal RNA (514 nucleotides) under uncultured bacterium. RNAcentral's name for it is "bacterial SSU rRNA". It matches the Rfam family "Bacterial small subunit ribosomal RNA", at positions 20 to 518 of the family's 1533-position model. The record is from RNAcentral.